CAAAGCCCGCUCCUUCUCCGCCGCUACCUCCGGACUAACCAAAGUCGGGUCACCCGACCCUGACGGAAACAUCUCCGCCGCAACUCCCGGCUGUCCUCGACCAGCUGCAGCUGGUGCUGCCACCAGCCGAUCCACAGUUUCUUAGAGUCGCUACAUUCGCUCCUCCUGGCGCAUGGCAGCCUCCUACUGUCGCUGCACCAUAUCAGCUUGUUGUCUCAUCACUCCAACGAGUGUGGCCAACUGAUCACGAAGCUCUGAGUCUCCGCUCGCGUCGGUUUGCUCAGGGGCACCACUUGUCCCCUCCCGCGCCGAUCUGGACGAAGAUCGCCUACGCGGUGCCAUCGUUUCCUGAAAUAGGACAACUCGAUUAGCUCUCAACCAACUCGGGUCGAACACGAGACCACUAACACAGCUCAAAAGCCAAUCAGGCGAAAGUCAAACAAGGACGUCUAUUCUCGUCACUCGGCUUUAU
RNAcentral lists this long non-coding RNA (472 nucleotides) under Ananas comosus (pineapple). RNAcentral's name for it is "long non-coding RNA (ACOM_LNC035796)". Lineage: Eukaryota; Viridiplantae; Streptophyta; Magnoliopsida; Poales; Bromeliaceae. The record is from RNAcentral.